Molecule: ribosomal RNA, 377 nt
Filed under: uncultured bacterium
Lineage: Bacteria
Description: bacterial SSU rRNA
Rfam family: Bacterial small subunit ribosomal RNA
Source: RNAcentral
AAUCAACGCUGGCGGCGUGCCUCAGACAUGCAAGUCGAACGAUUAAAGCUCUCUUCGGAGAGUGUAUAGAGUGGCGCACGGGUGAGUAACACGUAAGUAAUCUACCUUCGAGUGGGGAAUAACGUCCGGAAACGGACGCUAAUACCGCAUAAUGCAGCGGCAUCGCAAGAUGACAGUUGUUAAAGAUUUAUCGCUUGAAGAGGAGCUUGCGGCAGAUAGCUAGUUGGUAAGGUAAUGGCUUACCAAGGCUACGAUCUGUAACCGGUCUAAGAGGACGGUCGGUCACACUGACACUGAAUAACGGGUCAGACUCCUACGGGAGGCAGCAGUCGGGAAUUUUGGGCAAUGGGCGAAAGCCUGACCCAGCAACGCCGCGU